AUAUUUUUGAUGUAUUUGUAACUAGCAUAAAUAAAAAACUCUGUUCUUAUCAGCUUAAUAUCUGAUACGGUUCUAUAUGGACCCACGAUAUUAAACCUAUUUUUGGAAGUUGGCGGAGUGCUUGAAGCCUGCUUCACCUCCGCCGCAGGUCGGCCCGGUAUUGCACUACCUCCGGGAUCGGCCCCGCUCAC
RNAcentral lists this small nuclear RNA (191 nucleotides) under Dermacentor andersoni. Its description in RNAcentral is "U2 spliceosomal RNA". It matches the Rfam family "U2 spliceosomal RNA". From Rfam's summary of the family: U2 is a small nuclear RNA (snRNA) component of the spliceosome (involved in pre-mRNA splicing). Complementary binding between U2 snRNA (in an area lying towards the 5' end but 3' to hairpin I) and the branchpoint sequence (BPS) of the intron results the bulging out of an unpaired adenosine, on the BPS, which initiates a nucleophilic attack at the intronic 5' splice site, thus starting the first of two transesterification reactions that mediate splicing. Lineage: Eukaryota; Metazoa; Arthropoda; Arachnida; Ixodida; Ixodidae. The record is from RNAcentral.